RNAcentral lists this ribosomal RNA (497 nucleotides) under uncultured bacterium. RNAcentral's name for it is "partial 16S ribosomal RNA". It matches the Rfam family "Bacterial small subunit ribosomal RNA", at positions 29 to 507 of the family's 1533-position model. The record is from RNAcentral.
UAUGAACGCUGGCGGCGUGCCUAAUACAUGCAAGUCGAGCGAACAGACGAGGAGCUUGCUCCUCUGACGUUAGCGGCGGACGGGUGAGUAACACGUGGAUAACCUACCUAUAAGACUGGGAUAAAUUCGGGAAACCGGAGCUAAUACCGGAUAAUAUAUUGAACCGCAUGGUUCAAUAGUGAAAGACGGUUUUGCUGGCACUUAUAGAUGGAUCCGCGCAGCAUUAGCUAGUUGGUAAGGUAACGGCUUACCAAGGCAACCAUGCGUAGCCGACCUGUGAGAGUGAUAGGCCACACUGGAACUGAGACACGGUCCAGACGCCUACGGGAGGCAGCAGUAGGGAAUCUUACGCAAUGGGCGAAAGUAUUACGGAGCAACGCGGCGUGAGUGAUGAAGGUGUUCGGAGCGUAAAACUGUGUUAUUAGGGAAGAACAAAUGUGUAAGUAACUAUGCACGUCUUGACGGUACCUAAUCAGAAAGCCACGGCUAACUACGUG